CCUACGGGUGGCUGCAGUGAGGAAUAUUGGUCAAUGGGCGCGAGCCUGAACCAGCCAAGUCGCGUGAGGGAAGACGGUCCUAUGGAUUGUAAACCUCUUUUGUCGGGGAGCAAAAGACGCCACGCGUGGCGUUCCGAGAGUACCCGAAGAAAAAGCAUCGGCUAACUCCGUGCCAGCAGCCGCGGUAAUACGGAGGAUGCGAGCGUUAUCCGGAUUUAUUGGGUUUAAAGGGAGCGUAGGCCGGCGUGUAAGUCAGCGGUGAAAGUGCGCGGCUCAACCGUGGAAUUGCAGUGGAAACUGGAGGCCUUGAGUGCACACAGGGAUGCCGGAAUUCAUGGUGUAGCGGUGAAAUGCUUAGAUAUCAUGAAGAACUCCGAUCGCGAAGGCAAGUGUCCGGGGCGCAACUGACGCUGAGGCUCGAAAGUGCGGGUAUCAAACAGGAUUAGAUACCCUUGUAGUC
This 460-nucleotide ribosomal RNA is filed under the name uncultured bacterium. Its description in RNAcentral is "partial 16S ribosomal RNA". It matches the Rfam family "Bacterial small subunit ribosomal RNA", at positions 338 to 795 of the family's 1533-position model. The record is from RNAcentral.